UUGUUUGUUUGUUUUACCUUUGAGUAAAAACAGUUAAGAAAAUCAUAACCUGACAAAAAUGAAUGAAAACCGGCGUUUGCUGAAGCUUGAAAAAAACUCAUAAUUCACACAUGCAUUUUUGUAAACUCAAACAUGAUGGCGAAGCCGCUUAGUACCGUCGUCACUGGCAGUUUUGUGGAAAAUGAUCAGGACCAAAGACUCUAUAACGGAUACAUUACAUUAAUAAUUUCAUUAGGAACAUUUCCUAUCUUAAAUUUCUGCCCAGACCUACUGAACAAUUAUAUUCUGUGUGGAGAAGACGAGGAGGUGGAGGUUUGCUGAUAAGGAUGAUGUGAUCUAAGAUACCUGGGCUUCUGCUGGAACUGCAGGGUGAUGGCAGGAAGGAUUAGAUGACCAGGUGUGUGAAAGUGUGUAUAACUGUGUAUGCAAGUGUGUUGCUGGAUUAAGAUCACUGUGCUUCCCUUCAGCUUGGACCAUGUCACUCAUCCGAUUUCAUCUUCAUCUGAGCCUGCAUCUGAGCGAUCAUCUCCUGCAUGCGUCUCAACUACAAAGAAGAAGAACAAAGCGAGAAUACAAGAGUUCAUAAGAGGUUUCAGGUUUUGGGCAGCAAAAAGUCAACUUAUACA
Molecule: long non-coding RNA, 626 nt
Organism: Melanotaenia boesemani (Boeseman's rainbowfish)
Lineage: Eukaryota; Metazoa; Chordata; Actinopteri; Atheriniformes; Melanotaeniidae
Exons: 2
Source: RefSeq, a predicted model, not a curated record